Long non-coding RNA from Zingiber officinale, 1361 nucleotides. RefSeq lists it as uncharacterized. The transcript is spliced from 2 exons. NCBI's taxonomy places the organism in Eukaryota, Viridiplantae, Streptophyta, Magnoliopsida, Zingiberales, Zingiberaceae. The record is from RefSeq and is a predicted model, not a curated record.
UGGUAAUAUGGAUGACAAGGCCAGCUCUCUUUUUCAAAGCCUCGGCAUUAACAAUUACAGUGCUUUCUUUCUUUCUUUCUUUUGAUUCUUAGCUUCAAGAUAUGAGCUUGUUGUUGAAUUAAUAAGGUUUUUUUUUCUUUCUUCUGGCUUGUAUUUUGCUAAUGCCGCACGCCGUUGGGGUUUUGCAAAGAGAGCUUCCUUUAGUCCACUCAUGGCCGGCUAUGGGAUCAAAUUAGCUGCUGACUCAUUCAUCCACGUUCCGAGCAAUGAAUGCCUUAAGGAGUUUGCUCGGUAGAUGAGUGAAUGAUGCGGGAGCUAAAUGGGUUCUCAUGCUGCCUUUGCUUGGACUGAAGGGAGCUCCCUUGUCUUCACAAUCCUCCUGCGCUGCACUGCACUGUGCAAGUUGAUUAAUCUUAAUUUGCAAGAUGUACGUAGUCCUGUCGAUUGAUUCUUGGUUAACAGUAAUUUGUAAGUGGACCAUAAGUAGGUUAAAAAUGCAACCCUAACCCUAAUCUUUCCUUGUGGUUUUUGAUUCGUCGAUAGUAGUGGAGCAUUGUUGAACUCCCGCUGCUUUAGUUCCUCGCACAAGUUCCGAACUCCGCUGCUCCUUCCCCGACGCCCGCCACUACUUGAUUAAAAUAAUUGCCUUAAGGUGCAGGAAGGCGGCGAUUCUUUCUUCCCAAUCUCGCUCUGGAAUUGGCUGGAUGGUUCCAUGCGUCGUCUCCGCUGGGGGGCGCUGUCUCUGAGUUCCAAGUGACCAUGGCGUGCAUGGCCGCCCAGUCCUCGAUGCUGCCUGCUGCCGUUGCCGGUUUCUUUUGCGCUCUGUUCUCGAUUGAUGUCUUUUAAUAAGGUUACACCAAACUGGUCGUACAAAGACAGUAUGUUGUGUGCUUGUAUUAGUUAUUUUUUAUGAUUUUUUUUUAAAUGAGACUUUUGUUGAAAUCAGUCUUUAUAAGGGGUGUUGAAAUCAGUCUUUACAAGGGUACAUUGAUACAAACAAAGCAUGGAUAUGGUGUCUCUAAUCUUGGGGUGCGAGUGAAGUGACUCUUAAAAAGAUGCUUCCUCUCAAGCUUUGCUUUGCUUCGUUGACACUAUCAAGUCACAAAUCUAGGCUUAACCCUGUCCAACCAGACCAAAAAUCACGAGAGGCAUGUUGAGUCUUGGCUGACAAGAUCAAGUUUGUGAAAGUUGUGUUUUUGGAAGGGAUCAUGCAUCAGUAAGGCAAGAAGGGCUUGCCAACAACCAGUGUUCUUGUAGUCAUCAUUCAAUGUAUGUAGUCCAGUAGAUUGAAUGAGUCGACAACUUUUCUACUCGACUAUAGCUAAAUAAAAAAUAUCUUUGCUCGGCAAAUAACUCACCAA